GGGAAAACUCGUCAGGGCCGCGGGGUUCUGGCGCGCGCGGGCCGUGGAGCUGCCAUGAGCCUGUGGGUGGACAAGUACCGGCCCUGCUCCUUGGCGCGCCUGGACUACCACAAGGAGCAGGCGGCCCAGCUGCGCAACCUGGUUCAGUGUGGUGACUUUCCUCACCUCUUAGUAUAUGGACCCUCAGGUGCUGGGAAAAAGACAAGGAUCAUGUGUGUCCUACGCGAACUUUAUGGUGUUGGAGUGGAGAAAUUAAGAAUCGAACAUCAGACCAUCACAACUCCAUCCAAAAAGAAAAUUGAAAUCAGCACCAUUGCAAGUAAUUACCAUCUUGAAGUUAAUCCCAGUGAUGCUGGAAAUAGUGACCGGGUAGUAAUUCAGGAGAUGUUGAAAACAGUGGCGCAAUCACAGCAACUUGAAACAAGCUCUCAAAGAGAUUUUAAAGUGGUGUUAUUGACAGAGGUGGACAAACUCACCAAAGAUGCUCAACAUGCCUUGCGCAGAACAAUGGAAAAAUACAUGUCUACAUGCAGGUUGAUCUUGUGUUGCAAUUCUACAUCCAAAGUGAUACCACCCAUUCGCAGCAGGUGCCUGGCAGUUCGAGUGCCUGCUCCUAGCAUUGAAGAGAUUUGCUAUGUGUUAACUGCUGUGUGCAAGAAAGAAGGUCUGACUCUUCCUUCCCAGCUGGCCCAUCGGCUGGCAGAGAAGUCCCGCAGAAAUCUCCGAAAAGCCCUGCUGAUGUGUGAAGCAUGCAGAGUCCAACAAUACCCUUUCACUGCAGAUCAAGAAAUCCCUGAGACAGACUGGGAGGUGUAUCUGCGGGAGACCGCAAAUGCCAUUGUCAGUCAGCAAACUCCACAGAGGCUCCUUGAAGUCCGUGGAAGGCUCUAUGAGCUUCUAACACAUUGCAUUCCUCCUGAGAUAAUAAUGAAGGGUCUCCUCUCAGAACUUUUGCAUAAUUGUGAUGGACAACUGAAAGGGGAAGUGGCCCAGAUGGCAGCUUAUUAUGAACAUCGUCUCCAGCUGGGUAGCAAGGCCAUUUAUCACUUGGAAGCAUUUGUAGCCAAAUUUAUGGCACUUUAUAAGAAGUUUAUGGAGGAUGGAUUGGAAGGCAUGAUGUUCUGACUGCUAUCGGUCCCUUAUGUUGAAUUUUGGCUAUCAGCCAAAAUAGCUGUUUGCUUGCUUUUAAAUUGCAGAGUACAUCCAGUUGUGAGGAUACGGAUAAGUCCACUCAUUGCCUCAUUCAGUGUGAAUUAUUUUGAGGAGUAACCGCCAUGGAUAGACUCUUGGGCUGAUCCACAAAUCAUAUACUCUGUUGUGACAAGCUUCAUAGAUCCUGGCUUCCUACGUAACACCUGUUUUUGAGAUUGUGUUGCUGUUU
This is an RNA transcript of Ochotona curzoniae (black-lipped pika), 1381 nucleotides long. It is a transcript of the gene named replication factor C subunit 3, with no coding region annotated. The record is from RefSeq and is a predicted model, not a curated record. The transcript has 12 exons. NCBI's taxonomy places the organism in Eukaryota, Metazoa, Chordata, Mammalia, Lagomorpha, Ochotonidae.